Molecule: long non-coding RNA, 397 nt
Filed under: Callithrix jacchus (white-tufted-ear marmoset)
Lineage: Eukaryota; Metazoa; Chordata; Mammalia; Primates; Cebidae
Description: lncRNA (ENSCJAG00000074230.1)
Source: RNAcentral
GCAUGUUGUUGGUGGUGUGGUCUACAGCCAUAAAUUGCAAGAGCCAAGAUGAUUUGACUGCCUCUUCCUGUCUAUGAUCUGCCUAUUUGGGGGUCCAACUCAACCUCUGAGAAUCAAGUUCUCCCAUGUCCAUUGUAGGCACUUCUGGAACAUAAGAAGGAACAGAUCAGCCUCAUCAAAUCAAAUACUAGUCUCACUCCGUCACCAGGCACCAGGCUGGAGUGCAGUGGCACGACCUCGGCUCACUGCAACCUCCGCCUCCGGGUUCAAGCAAUUCUCCUGCCUCAGCCUCCCGAGUAGCUGGGACUACAGAAAUGGUUCUCUUUAUUGCGAGGCUGCAAGGUCACCCAAUGAGAGAGGGGCCAAAUAAGCUGGAACAUCAUCUAAUACACUGAAU